This 253-nucleotide ribosomal RNA is filed under the name uncultured bacterium. Its description in RNAcentral is "partial 16S ribosomal RNA". It matches the Rfam family "Bacterial small subunit ribosomal RNA", at positions 524 to 776 of the family's 1533-position model. The record is from RNAcentral.
UACGAGGGGGGCAAGUGUUGUUCGGAAUUACUGGGCGUAAAGGGAGCGUAGGCGGGCUCUUAAGUUGGAUGUUUAAAACCGGGGCCUAACCCCGGCGUGGCAUCCAAAACUGGGAGUCUUGAAUGGGACAGAGGCCAGUGGAAUUAGAGGUGUAGCGGUGGAAUGCGUAGAUAUCUCUAAGAACACCAGUUGCGAAGGCGGCUGGCUGGGUCCCCAUUGACGCUGAGGCUCGAAAGCUAGGGGAGCAAACAGG